This 463-nucleotide ribosomal RNA is filed under the name uncultured bacterium. Its description in RNAcentral is "bacterial SSU rRNA". It matches the Rfam family "Bacterial small subunit ribosomal RNA", at positions 29 to 524 of the family's 1533-position model. The record is from RNAcentral.
AACGAACGCUGGCGGCAGGCUUAACACAUGCAAGUCGAACGAGCUGGGGGCCUUCGGGUCCCGAUGCUAGUGGCGCACGGGUGAGUAACACGUGGGAAUAUGCCCUUUAGUACGGAACAACCCAGGGAAACUUGGGCUAAUACCGGAUAAGCCCUUACGGGGAAAGAUUUAUCGCCGAAAGAUCGGCCCGCGUCUGAUUAGCUAGUUGGUGUGGUAACGGCGCACCAAGGCGACGAUCAGUAGCNGGUCUGAGAGGAUGAUCAGCCACAUUGGGACUGAGACACGGCCCAAACUCCUACGGGAGGCAGCAGUGGGGAAUAUUGGACAAUGGGCGCAAGCCUGAUCCAGCCAUGCCGCGUGAGUGGUGAAGGCCCUAGGGUUGUAAAGCUCUUUUGUGCGGGAAGAUAGUGACGGUACCGCAAGAAUAAGCCCCGGCUAACUUCGUGCCAGCCGCCGCUGUAAG